CGAGAGCAGCUUGGCGAUGUAGGGGAUCAGCGGCAGGUUCAGGAUCAGCAGGAUCACGUUGCCGAGAUACAUCGAGAUGAUGACCGCCCAGAAGAUCUCGGGGCUGUCCACCAUCAGCCGCGGCCC
Molecule: non-coding RNA, 126 nt
Filed under: marine eukaryotic metagenome
Description: Ruegeria cis8 sRNA
Rfam family: Ruegeria cis8 sRNA
About the family: Cis-encoded. Targets hypothetical protein.
Source: RNAcentral